UACGUAGGGUCCGAGCGUUGUCCGGAAUUAUUGGGCGUAAAGGGCUCGUAGGCGGUUUGUCGCGUCGGGAGUGAAAACCUACAGCUUAACUGUGGGCUUGCUUUCGAUACGGGCAGACUAGAGGUAUGCAGGGGAGAACGGAAUUCCUGGUGUAGCGGUGAAAUGCGCAGAUAUCAGGAGGAACACCGGUGGCGAAGGCGGUUCUCUGGGCAUGAUCUGACGCUGAGGAGCGAAAGUGUGGGGAGCGAACAGG
RNAcentral lists this ribosomal RNA (253 nucleotides) under uncultured bacterium. RNAcentral describes it as "partial 16S ribosomal RNA". It matches the Rfam family "Bacterial small subunit ribosomal RNA", at positions 524 to 776 of the family's 1533-position model. The record is from RNAcentral.